GUACAACUCCGGAUUGUGUCCCGCAAGAUAGAGGUAUUUGGCUGAGAGUUACCCUCGCUGAUUAAGCUAAGUGGGGGGAAUAAAGGCUCACCCAAGGCGGCCGUAUCAGUUAGCUGUUCGAGAGGAUGUUCAGCCACCUUUGGGAAUUGAGACACGGCCCCAGACUUCUUACGGGAGGCAGCAGUGGGGAAUUUUCCGCAAUGGCGAAAGCCUGACGGAGCAACGCGCGUGAGGGAGAAGCUCUUGGGUGUAAACCUCUUUUAUCAAGGAGAUAAUGACGGUACUUGAUGAAUCAGCAUCGGCUAACUCCGUGCCAGCAGCCGCGGUAAUACGGAGGAUGCAAGCGUUAUCCCGGAAUAAUUGGGCGUAAAGCGUUCGUAGGUGGUGAUGUAAGUCUGCUGUUAAAGCGUGUAGCUUAACUACAUAUAGGCGGUGGAAACUACAUGACUAGAGUGCGUUCGGGGCAGAGGGAAUUCCUGGUGUAGCGGUGAAAUGCGUAGAUAUCAGGAAGAACACCGGUGGCGAAGGCGCUCUGCUAGGCCGUAACUGACACUGAGGGACGAAAGCUAGGGGAGCGAAUGGGAUUAGAUACCCCAGUAGUCCUAGCUGUAAACGAUGGAUACUAGGCGUUGUCUGUAUCGACCCGGACAGUGCCGUAGCUAACGCGUUAAGUAUCCCGCCUGGGGAGUACGCACGCAAGUGUGAAACUCAAAGGAAUUGACGGGGGCCCGCACAAGCGGUGGAGUAUGUGGUUUAAUUCGAUGCAACGCGAAGAACCUUACCAAGGCUUGACAUGUCCGGAAUUUCUUGGAAACGAGAAAGUGCCUUCGGGAGCCGGAACACAGGUGGUGCAUGGCUGUCGUCAGCUCGUGUCGUGAGAUGUUGGGUUAAGUCCCGCAACGAGCGCAACCCUCGUUUUUAGUUGCCAGCACUUCGGGUGGGCACUCUAGAGAGACUGCCGGUGACAAACCGGAGGAAGGUGGGGAUGACGUCAAGUCAUCAUGCCCCUUACGUCUUGGGCUACACACGUACUACAAUGCUAUGGACAAAGAGCAGCCAACCAGCGAUGGUGCGCUAAUCUCAUAAACCAUGGCUCAGUUCAGAUCGCAGGCUGCAACUCGCCUGCGUGAAGUAGGAAUCGCUAGUAAUUGCAGGUCAGCAUACUGCAGUGAAUUCGUUCCCGGGCCUUGUACACACCGCCCGUCACACCAUGGAAGUUGGUCAUGCCCGAAGUCGUUACCCUAACCGU
Molecule: ribosomal RNA, 1249 nt
Filed under: uncultured cyanobacterium
Lineage: Bacteria; Bacillati; Cyanobacteriota
Description: bacterial SSU rRNA
Rfam family: Bacterial small subunit ribosomal RNA
Source: RNAcentral